RNAcentral lists this ribosomal RNA (3181 nucleotides) under Triticum aestivum (bread wheat). RNAcentral's name for it is "partial small subunit ribosomal RNA". Lineage: Eukaryota; Viridiplantae; Streptophyta; Magnoliopsida; Poales; Poaceae. The record is from RNAcentral.
UUCUCUUUCAGCAUGGAGUUCAUGCUUACACAGUGCCUCGUUUCCUCUCAAUCCCCUAGCUUCACGUUCCCCGGUUCUGGAUCUGGUGCAUCCAAUGGAUGUAGCGGCCCGGCAGUCUCACCAGAUUCGCCGCGGUUUGCAAGGCAUCCUCGAUUCCUGGGUGCAGUUCGUGAGGUCGCCGAAGAUGAUCCCAGCGGCCGAUUCCCAGAUUUAUUAGAUACAGUUGAAGUUGUUCUGCGCCCAGACGUCAGCGAUUCAGAAGAGAAUAAGCCCAGCAGGGCGGAGAAUGUGUAUGUAGCCCUGGACGACAAGGUUGGAUGGGUUAGCAGGAAACGGCGGGAUGUCAUGCCAGACGAAAGACCAACAAGUGCAGACAGGGUCACCGCGCUGGAAAAAGCUCUAACCGGGUUUGCAGAUAGGGAUUCAGAUUCUGUUGUGACUCCGUCCGUUGGGCUAUCAUUUGACUCGAUAAAUGAGGCAUAUGAAUUCUACAACCUGUAUUCUUGGGAGUGUGGAUUUGGUGUUCGCUAUGCAAAGAGCAUGACGAAUGUAAAAGGGACAAAAUGCAUGCAGGAGUUCGUCUGCUGCUGCUCGAUAUGAGUCCUACAAACAAGUGUUCACUGUCUAAUGUGUCAUCUGUUACCAUGCUGUUUGUUGCAUAUCUAAAUGCAUUUUGGUUGGUUAUUUUCUUGCAGGGCAAACCAAAAGAAGCAAAUUCGAAGUCUACAUGGUGUCAAUGCCAAGCCAUGAUAAGGCUUCUCCAAACGGACGACGAAGGCUGGUACAUCAACGAAUUCAGGUCCAAACACAACCACCCCAUGUUGAACACUUGUGCUGAGAAGUUGCAUUUCCCAUCACAUAGGCAUAUUGACAAAUACACCCGUGAGCUUGUUUCCCAACUGAGACAGAACAAUGUUAAUCUGAGCAAGGUUUAUAGUAUAAUCGCAACAUUUUUUGGUAGAGUUGAGAAUGUGCCGUUCACCAAGAGAUGUUUAAGGACUCUGUGUGGGAAGCUUAGCAGGGAGCAAGCUGAUGACGAUGUGCGAAAGACAAUGGCUAUUUUUUCAGAAAUGAAAGCACAAGACAGCGAGUUCACAUACAACGUUCAGGUAGAUGAUGAGAGUAGGAUAUGGACCCUUAUGUGGACGAACGGGCGUAGCAAAACACAGUACCAUCACUUCAGUGACGUUAUCACCUUCGACACGACAUACAAAACAAACCUGUAUGAUAUGCCAUUUGGUCUGUUUGUGGGGGUGAAUAAUCAUUUUCAGAGUGUGCUUUAUGCGAGACGAGACCGAGGAUACAUUCAAAUGGAUUUUUGACGAGUUCGUGAAGAUGAUGGGUGGUAAAAAACCAAUUACUAUUCUAACAGAGCCAUGGAAAAGGCAAUUGAGGAGGUGUAUCCUGAAUCCACGCAUCGGUGGUGCAAAUGGCACGUGCUGAAGAAGGCCAAAGAAAACCUGGGUGCUCAUUACACCAAGAAGUCAGAUUUCAGGGCUGAAUUCCACAAGCUUGUGCAUGAGAUGCUGACUAUUGAUGAAUUCGAGGACGGCUGGGCAGCAUUGCUUGACAAAUAUUCACUGGAAACAAAUCCAUAUCUCAUGCAGAUCUGCGAGACUAGGCAGAAGUGCGCAAAACCUUACUUUGUCGGGAAAUUCUGUGCUCGCCGAACCAGCACUGGCAGGAGUGAGAGUGCAAACCAUAUGCUGAAGCAGUAUGUCCCCCCGUCAUGCUCAAUGAAUCUAUUUGUCAAGCAAUACAACAAGCUCCAGUUCGACCGAGAAUAGGAGGAAGGAUUCCAGGAGAAACGUACUAGACUGAGUCAUGCUGUGCUGAAGGUGAACACCUCUCUUGAAGUACACGCAAGCAAGAUAUAUACCAGGAAGAUGUUUGAGAUUUUUGGUGGCAUACUGUAUGAAUCUGGAAUGUAUGAUGUCGAAGAAAUCAUAGAGAAGCAGAAAUACAUAGUGACACACCGGAAAGCCGAGCUCCGUGAGAAGUGGUUCAAGUGCCGGUUUGAGGUCAACGUGUCUGAUAACCUUGGUUAUUUCUCGUGCAUUUGCGGUCUGUUUGAGCACAUGGGCAUGGUUUGCUGUCACUCGCUACAGGUGAUGGUUCUACUACGCCUAAAGCAGAUACCUUCGAGGCAUAUACUGAAAAGGUGGAGCAUACACGGCAGAGACAACCUGCCAUCGCAUCUGAAGCACUAUCAACAAGACAUGGUCCGCCGGAUGCGCCCACUUUCAGGCAUUCUGCUCUGUACAUCACUGCCCUGGAGGUUGCAAAUAUGGGGGACAGGAACCCGGCGGCUUUUGAGUUUAUGAUGACAGGCCUGGUUGAACUUAGAACAAGAGGCGCCGAGGUGUGCGCGUUCAAUGACGGCCUUGGCGUCAUUGAGCAACAGGUAUCCAACAAUGUAGUUCUUGGCGGUCCAAAAUCAAAGUUUGUCAACGGCAAGACAUCUUGCUCCGUAAGAAGUGUGGAAGGCAAUCGAACUAAAUCACGCGAUGCCGCGUCGGUGUCUGUGCAUCCUCCAAUUAGCCAGGGCUUAGAAGCAUCAUGCCCAAAUGGUGAUGGGUACAAUUCAGAUUUCUCUGAAGCCGCGUCCAGCCUGAUGGCCAAUGUUGAACAACAACUGCUUGCCCCGGAAAGAAAAAACAAACGAGGCCGCCAACCACUAGCCGUGAUAAAGCUCCUUAUGACAAAGGCAGCGCCAAGAGUUCUAGGUUCUGUUCCAUCUGCAGGGGCAAAGGUCACAAAGCCAGCACUUGCCCUGAUCGAGGUGAUAUCCCCAGAAAGGAAAGGAAGGUGGCCACAUGCGGCAAAUGUGGGGUUCCAGGGCACCGAAGGAUGACUUGCAGCAAGCCUCUCGUCUCGAUGAUGCCCGGUGUCCCUCCUUCACAUUAGACGGUGAAUUUCGUACGCUGAUUCCCCCGUGUAACAUUUGCUUAGCACUGGUAGAAAAAGGGCCUGUUGUGCCGGUUCGUAAGGGCCUUUUGUCCCGGUUCUGGAACCGGGACUAAAGGCUCGGUACUAAUGCCCUGUCCCUUUAGUCCCGGUUCAAUCCAGAACCGGGACAGAUGGGGCUCCACGUGGCCUGUGCGCGGAGCCCAGGCAGGAGAUCCUUUGGUCCCGGUUGGUGGCACCAACCGGGACCAAUAGGCAUCCACGCGUCAGCAUU